Molecule: long non-coding RNA, 850 nt
Organism: Musa acuminata subsp. malaccensis (wild Malaysian banana)
Lineage: Eukaryota; Viridiplantae; Streptophyta; Magnoliopsida; Zingiberales; Musaceae
Source: RefSeq, a predicted model, not a curated record
AGGGUCUCGAGGGAUCCCAAAUCGUCGAGGGUAUCCGACACUUCCCAAGCUCUUCUCUCCUCCGGGUAUAGGGUUUCGUUCAAGAAUGGCUCUUCCAGCGGGUUCUUGGAAGGGAUAAAGCGGCGGGAGCCUGAGCUUCUCCGGGUUCCUCGCAUCAGGGAGGGUGGUUCUUGGAAGCGAACGAAUCGUCGGGCCCGAUGGGCUUUUUGGUUCCUAUGCAUCGCAACUUCCUCUGUUCCCGCUAAUGUUUCGUUCAUGAACGGCGCUUCCGACGAGUUCUUGGAAGAGAACGAGCCACGGGGCCGGAGUUCGAACCCCACCAGGUUCUUGGAAGAGGUUUCAUUUCCAAAUGCCCGAGAGGAUCUCGGAUUCCUGCGCUUCCUAAACUUUGAUUUCCUCUCUCAAGGGUUUCGUUCAAGAACGGCGCCUCCAGCGAGUUCUUGGAGGAGGUUUAAGGUGUUCUUUAAUGAGUUUUUGGAAGAUAACCACCCGCGAAGCCGGAGUUUCUUUAAACUAUGUAUGUUCUUUAAAGAAGCCGGAGCUUCUUCAACCUCCAGCUACUUCUUGGAAGAGGUUUAAGGUGGUUUCCUUUUCUUUGGCUGGCCUUGCCCUCUGCAAUGCCGAUCACAUGGUGAUGUCUGUGGCCAUCGGUCUGCUCUCCAGAGCCCAUGGCAUCGUUCAGGAGAAAAAUGCUCUUCUGGGAAUGGAGAUUUGGGAAGACUGAUAUGGCUUAUGUAAGCAACAUAUCUCUAAGAAGGGCCAAGAAGAGGUUUCUGAAGAUUGGCUUGAGGAUUAAAUAGGGAACCAAUUAUAAUGCAUGCGUGACUUGCAUGGUACAUUAUAUGCAUAU